AUCCAGCUGACGAGUUCCAAGUAGGACGAAAUGCGCGUCCUGAAU
RNAcentral lists this non-coding RNA (45 nucleotides) under Schistosoma mattheei. The record is from RNAcentral. Lineage: Eukaryota; Metazoa; Platyhelminthes; Trematoda; Strigeidida; Schistosomatidae.